This is a long non-coding RNA of Piliocolobus tephrosceles (Ugandan red Colobus), 1078 nucleotides long. RefSeq lists it as uncharacterized. Lineage: Eukaryota; Metazoa; Chordata; Mammalia; Primates; Cercopithecidae. The record is from RefSeq and is a predicted model, not a curated record. The transcript is spliced from 2 exons.
AUGAAUGAGCUACUCCUGGAGCGGUCACUGGAAAUAGGAGGAGUGGCCACAGGCAGUGACGCUGGGACCAGAGCAGGAGGCCUGUAAACAAGGAAGCCACCUGGGGGAGACGCAGGGCGGUCACUGGUCCUGGGGAGCAGGUGCUUCCUGAGGCCCGCCCUGGAGAGGGCCCUGGGGGCCGCCCCGCCGAGUCUGCAGCAGGCGCUAGGAGGCGCCGUCUACCGGCUUCCAGAGCCCACCGCUCCCUACCCUGGCUCCCGGGGGUGUGGCCGCGGGAGGGUGUGCCGGCCCAGAGUCCCAGGCCCUGCCGGCCCGGCCUCUCCCUCCCUUCUGUCACCGCAGCCGACUGGCCAAGGGCACCAGCCCUGGAGAGGGCUCGGGGCUCAGCCUGGCCUGCUCUGGUGUGAGCUCAUUCCCCGACACCACCAGUUCCAGUUCCUGCCCCUCCCCCAAAGGCUCGGGUCGCAGGCUGGGGCCUGGCACCCACCCCAAAGUUUGGGAGGGGGCUCGGAGGCCAUCAGGCUCCAGGCCGCCGUUGGCUCUGCCCCCUGGCGCCAGGGAAACAAAGUGAUGGGGGUCUUGCUAGGUUGCCCAGGCUGGUCUUGAACUCCUGACUUCAAGCAGUCCUCCCACCUCAGCCUCCUAGAGUGUUGGGAUUACAGGCAUGAGCCACUGUGCCUGGCCCCCUAUCCCAAUAUCUAUAAGAUGCCAGGAUGCCCAGGAGCCCAAUUUGAAAGACACCGUGCCGCUGACCCACCUCCUGACUUCACAGCUGCUGAAUUGCAGAAGACAAAUUGGUAGCUAACAGGAGGCUCCAUCCUGGAUCCUGCCCCUGGCCAUGAGAUUCAGCCUUGAUUAAUGGUGUUCCCAUGCUGGUUGUGAGCAGGGCAUCAUCCUAGGUCCUUCUUUAUACUCGUUUUCCAUCUCCAGCCAAAAUGGGUUGAACUGAGGAACAAGGACAUACUCUGUAAAAGGGCAAGUGCAAGUCUCUGCUCUGCCCCUACCGGCCAUCAGGCUAAUCAAGCCCUUAGAACCUCAAUUUCUUCUCCUGUAAAAUGGGAAUAACUGUUACAGACCU